ACGGAAGGCAGCAGUGAGGAAUAUUGGUCAAUGGACGGAAGUCUGAACCAGCCAAGUCGCGUGAAGGAUGAAGGUAUUAUGUAUUGCAAACUUCUUUAGCAGUGGAGUAAUAAGGGGAUCGUGAUCCCUGAUGCAAGUACACUGAGAAUAAGGAUCGGCUAACUCCGUGCCAGCAGCCGCGGUAAUACGGAGGAUCCGAGCGUUAUCCGGAUUUAUUGGGUUUAAAGGGUGCGCAGGCGGCUUUUUAAGUCAGUGGUUAAAUCGUGACGCUCAACGUCAUCACGCCAUUGAUACUGGAGAGCUUGAUUGCGGUCGAGGUUUGCGGAAUUCGUUGUGUAGCGGUGAAAUGCAUAGAUAUGACGAAGAACACCGAUUGCGUAGGCAGCAGACCAGGCCGUAAAUGACGCUCAUGCACGAAAGUGCGGGGAUCGAACAGGAUUAGAUACCCUGGUA
This 453-nucleotide ribosomal RNA is filed under the name uncultured Porphyromonadaceae bacterium. RNAcentral describes it as "partial 16S ribosomal RNA". It matches the Rfam family "Bacterial small subunit ribosomal RNA", at positions 341 to 792 of the family's 1533-position model. The record is from RNAcentral. Lineage: Bacteria; Pseudomonadati; Bacteroidota; Bacteroidia; Bacteroidales; Porphyromonadaceae.